CAUUCGCCUCCCACCUAAAUCCUCGAGGUCGUAGCAAUGCGCUCCCACUACCCUUCUAACUAUUGCAGGCACGUAUUUUGGUGCUAGCUUAGCGCAAAAACCUUUCCCCUUGUCCGAUUGCUCCGUGUUCUUCUUAAGGACCCGCUCUCCCACAGAGUAGGUGGCGCAAUAGGCAUUCGACCGAAGGUUGUAGUAGGACGAAUGCUUCUCAUAGGCGGUCUGGAGGUUUUUCCGGACGUCUGCUAACAGCUUCUUUUGUUCCUCAUUUCCCAGCAGUCCGUCGUUACUGGUGGGAGAAUCUCUAAGCUGGCGAUAUUCCCGACCAUCGGAAAUCCGGUUCCUUCCAAACAUGACAAACGGCCCUAUUCUGCGCGGCGAGUGAGGUGAGACGCCAAAACUCACUUCACUGUCACAUGACUUUUGUCACCCUAUUCUACGAGUCGAGUCGGGUGACGUGAGAGGUUCAUUUCAGGGUGAGUGACAAAAUGAACCACAAGUGACUUGGUAUUCAUUUUGCGAAAUGUCAAAUCCAAUGUUAGCAGUGUUUUGUUUUUUUUACGCUCGCCGAGCAAUUAAUAUUUUAAAAACAUUAAAGAGAAGUUCAAUUGUAUUCAAUUAUAAAUUGUGCCAUAAACUAAAUAUAAAACUAGUGUUUAACUGUUUCGAAUAGUUAGAGGCUUGCCUGUUUGUCCAUGGUAGGCCAAGGAUUAUGUGGUACAGGCGGUAUCUCCUUGGAAAUUCUACCAUUCACAGCGGCCUCGGAGUGGAUAAGUGCAACGAAAAUUUUAACAAAAAUUCGCGCUACCGCAUAGUGGUUUUUCUACGUAAAUACGUAAUAUCAUACACUUGUAGGUAUUUGGUGUUGAUCGUCAUUUUAUCACCGCUGCGGGGAUCACUAGGAUUAUGUGCUCGAUUUGUAAAAUAUACGUUUAUCAGAUCAUUAGAGUGAUCAGUCGGUGCUACGACUGUUUAGUGCAGCAUACUGCACAUUGGUGAGAUGCGGGAAUUGGUCAAAUGAUAACUAUCGUGUUUUGUGAAAUUUAAUAUUUCGUGAGAUGUCUCAUUUUAAUUUAAACUACGCAGCUCGAGCAAUAAAAAUCUUUAAAAAUGGU
This is a long non-coding RNA of Topomyia yanbarensis, 1112 nucleotides long. RefSeq lists it as uncharacterized. The record is from RefSeq and is a predicted model, not a curated record. Lineage: Eukaryota; Metazoa; Arthropoda; Insecta; Diptera; Culicidae. The transcript is spliced from 3 exons.